RNAcentral lists this unclassified non-coding RNA (353 nucleotides) under soil metagenome. Its description in RNAcentral is "partial contains 5.8S ribosomal RNA, internal transcribed spacer 2, and large subunit ribosomal RNA". The stretch from base 1 to 120 matches the Rfam family "5.8S ribosomal RNA", at positions 35 to 154 of the family's 154-position model. The record is from RNAcentral.
GAUGAAGAACGUAGCGAAAUGCGAUAAGUAGUGUGAAUUGCAGAAUUCAGUGAAUCAUCGAAUCUUUGAACGCACAUUGUGCCUCCUGGUAUUCCGGGAGGCAUGCCUGUUCGAGCGUCAUUAAAAUCACUCAAGCUUAGGUUUGCCUAUUGCUUGGUCUUGAAGAUGGAAGCUAAGUAAUUAGAAUCCUCUUCGAAAUCCAAUGGCGAAGACCCUUGCUCUCCCAAGUGUAGUAAUAACUUAUUCACUGAAGGAAGCGAGUAAUCUUCCGCCGUAACCCCCAUAUUUUCUAUGAUUGACCUCGGAUCAGGUAGGGAUACCCGCUGAACUUAAGCAUAUCAAUAAGCGGAGGA